This 200-nucleotide ribosomal RNA is filed under the name uncultured bacterium. Its description in RNAcentral is "partial 16S ribosomal RNA". It matches the Rfam family "Bacterial small subunit ribosomal RNA", at positions 328 to 539 of the family's 1533-position model. The record is from RNAcentral.
ACGCUCGACACCUACGGGGGGCAGCAGUGGGGAAUAUUGCACAAUGGGGGAAACCCUGAUGCAGCGACGCCGCGUGAAGGAAGAAGUAUUUCGGUAUGUAAACUUCUAUCAGCAGGGAAGAAAAUGACGGUACCUGAGUAAGAAGCACCGGCUAAAUACGCGCCAGCAGCCGCGGUAAUCGUGAGGCGGGCUGGCAAGGC